Molecule: ribosomal RNA, 433 nt
Filed under: uncultured bacterium
Lineage: Bacteria
Description: partial 16S ribosomal RNA
Rfam family: Bacterial small subunit ribosomal RNA
Source: RNAcentral
AACGAACGCUGGCGGCAGGCCUAACACAUGCAAGUCGAGCGAGGACUUCGGUCCUAGCGGCGGACGGGUGAGUAACGCGUGGGAACGUGCCCUUUGCUUCGGAAUAGCCCUGGGAAACUGGGAGUAAUACCGGAUGAGCCCUUUGGGGGAAAGAUUUAUCGGCGAAGGAUCGGCCCGCGUUGGAUUAGGUAGUUGGUGGGGUAAUGGCCUACCAAGCCGACGAUCCAUAGCUGGUUUGAGAGGAUGAUCAGCCACACUGGGACUGAGACACGGCCCAGACUCCUACGGGAGGCAGCAGUGGGGAAUCUUAGAAAAUGGGGGAAACCCUGAUCGAGCCAUGCCGCGUGAACGAUGAAGGCCUUAGGGUUGUAAAGCUCUUUCCACUGGGAAGAUAAUGACGGUACCAGCAGAAGAAGCCCCGGCUAACUCCGUG